Long non-coding RNA from Corvus hawaiiensis (hawaiian crow), 1098 nucleotides. RefSeq lists it as uncharacterized. Lineage: Eukaryota; Metazoa; Chordata; Aves; Passeriformes; Corvidae. The transcript is spliced from 5 exons. The record is from RefSeq and is a predicted model, not a curated record.
GCCUGGGGCUCCUGAGGGUGUGAGCAUUGUACCCAGUUGAGCUAUUAAAUGACCUGCAUUUCUCAAAAGAACGUGAAAGGGGCUAAACAAAAUGUUACAAACAUUCUCAGUGCAAACAUCCUCUCCUUCUCCUCUGCCUUGGAGAACUGCAGGAAGAUAGUGAAUUCAUCUGUGCCCCCUCUAUCUUCAUCAUAGAAACAGAAUUUUUAUGGGAGCCGUUGGAUGGAAGAUGGAAUGAAUGAAAUGGUUCAUGAGAAGGGGUUUUAGGUACCAAUAUUGAUAGAGAGAUAUUGAUUUCAAGAAGUUCUCCUGGCUGGUUUAAGGACGCACAAGUGUUAACAUCUUUUCCCUGGGGGACUGGAUCUGAGGCCUUCUGAAGUCAACGGGCACUCUACCUUGAGGGCACUCUACCACUCUACCACAGCUCAUUUUCUCUCCUUCACCACAUCACCUGUAUCUUCUGCAGUUGAUUACACAUUCAUUUGUCAGACAAGCUUAACCACACUGGCUGAACCUUGCCUUUCCUAAGAUAGCCAUGUAAUUCCAUGAAAUUAUUUUCUGAACAGUGUUUCACUUUCAAAAGUCACAACCUUUAGCAGUUUACAGCCCUAUACUGCUGUGCCAAAGGACACAACAGUCCCCUUCAUGCAGUCAGCAGGUUCUGAAUGCAAAGAUAUUCUUUCUCUCUGGUUUCACAUAAACUCUGGUAAUACAGAUGCUUUAGUUCUUCCUUCAUCAUCUGAGACCUCUUGACUCCAGUACUGAAGCAUGCCCCAGGUCUCACUCACUAUCUGCUGCAGUGAAACACACAUAUACAGAGGCCAGAGCAACUUUGUUCUGGAGGUAGAGGUCAUCCCAGACAGUGUUUGGCUUAUGGACAGCUGUGCUUUGUGGAGAACCUGACAAUGUAAGGCUUCUUUAUGGUCAGGAUGCUGCUGGAGUGAAACCCAAGCUUAGGUUCUAUUGAAGUCACAAGUUCAAGUGUGCUUGUUAAUAUAGAUAAAUUUUUGUAUAUGCUUAAGGAGCAUAAGGAGCUGAGCCAAAGAACAUCAUUCCCCUUUUUUUCCUCUAAUAAAUAAGUUUAUUUUCUCCUGUCCA